AGAGUUUGAUCCUGGCUCAGGACGAACGCUGGCGGCGUGCUUAACACAUGCAAGUCGAACGGAGAUAUGGGUGCUUGCACCUAUAUUUUAGUGGCGGACGGGUGAGUAACGCGUGAGCAACCUGCCUUACAGAGGGGGAUAACGUCUGGAAACGGACGCUAAUACCGCAUGAAAUAUUGAUAUGGCAUCAUGUUAAUAUCAAAGGGAAUAACCGCUGUAAGAUGGGCUCGCGUCUGAUUAGCUAGUUGGUAAGGUAACGGCCUACCAAGGCGACGAUCAGUAGCCGAACUGAGAGGUUGAUCGGCCACAUUGGGACUGAGACACGGCCCAGACUCCUACGGGAGGCAGCAGUGGGGGAUAUUGCACAAUGGGGGGAACCCUGGAUGCAGCAACGCCGCGUGAGGGAAGAAGGUUUUCGGAUUGUAAACCUCUGUCUUUGGUGACGAUAAUGACGGUAGCCAAGGAGGAAGCUCCGGCUAACUACGUGCCAGCAGCCGCGGUAAUACGUAGGGAGCGAGCGUUGUCCGGAAUUACUGGGUGUAAAGGGUGCGUAGGCGGGGUUGCAAGUCAGGCGUGAAAUCCAUCGGCUUAACCGGUGAACUGCGCUUGAAACUGUAAUUCUUGAGUGAAGUAGAGGCAGGCGGAAUUCCGAGUGUAGCGGUGAAAUGCGUAGAUAUUCGGAGGAACACCAGUGGCGAAGGCGGCCUGCUGGGCUUUUACUGACGCUGAGGCACGAAAGCAUGGGGAGCAAACAGGAUUAGAUACCCUGGUAGUCCAUGCUGUAAACGAUGAAUGCUAGGUGUGGGGGGACUGACCCCUUCCGUGCCGGAGUAAACACAAUAAGCAUUCCACCUGGGGAGUACGACCGCAAGGUUGAAACUCAAAGGAAUUGAC
This 894-nucleotide ribosomal RNA is filed under the name uncultured Gram-positive bacterium. Its description in RNAcentral is "bacterial SSU rRNA". It matches the Rfam family "Bacterial small subunit ribosomal RNA", at positions 8 to 914 of the family's 1533-position model. The record is from RNAcentral.